CGGCAGCACGGGGGCAACCCUGGUGGCGAGUGGCGAACGGGUGAGUAAUACAUCGGAACGUGUCCUGUAGUGGGGGAUAGCCCGGCGAAAGCCGGAUUAAUACCGCAUACGCUCUACGGAGGAAAGGGGGGGAUCUCAGGACCUCUCGCUACAGGGGCGGCCGAUGGCAGAUUAGCUAGUUGGUGGGGUAAAGGCCUACCAAGGCGACGAUCUGUAGCUGGUCUGAGAGGACGACCAGCCACACUGGGACUGAGACACGGCCCAGACUCCUACGGGAGGCAGCAGUGGGGAAUUUUGGACAAUGGGCGCAAGCCUGAUCCAGCAAUGCCGCGUGUGUGAAGAAGGCCUUCGGGUUGUAAAGCACUUUUGUCCGGAAAGAAAUCCUUUGAGCUAAUACCUCGGGGGGAUGACGGUACCGGAAGAAUAAGCACCGGCUAACUACGUGCCAGCAGCCGCGGUAAUACGUAGGGUGCAAGCGUUAAUCGGAAUUACUGGGCGUAAAGCGUGCGCAGGCGGUUCGCUAAGACAGAUGUGAAAUCCCCGGGCUUAACCUGGGAACUGCAUUUGUGACUGGCGGGCUAGAGUAUGGCAGAGGGGGGUAGAAUUCCACGUGUAGCAGUGAAAUGCGUAGAGAUGUGGAGGAAUACCGAUGGCGAA
This 657-nucleotide ribosomal RNA is filed under the name uncultured Burkholderia sp. RNAcentral's name for it is "bacterial SSU rRNA". It matches the Rfam family "Bacterial small subunit ribosomal RNA", at positions 67 to 719 of the family's 1533-position model. The record is from RNAcentral. Lineage: Bacteria; Pseudomonadati; Pseudomonadota; Betaproteobacteria; Burkholderiales; Burkholderiaceae.